CUGCCCUUGGGUCCGGCAUAACCCCGGGAAACUGGGGAUAAUUCCGGAUAACGCACAUAUGCUGGAAUGCUUUAUGCGUCAAAUGGAUUCGUCUGCCCAAGGAUGGGUCUGCGGCCUAUCAGGUAGUAGUGGGUGUAAUGUACCUACUAGCCGACGACGGGUACGGGUUGUGAGAGCAAGAGCCCGGAGAUGGAUUCUGAGACAUGAAUCCAGGCCCUACGGGGCGCAGCAGGCGCGAAAACUUUACAAUGCGGGAAACCGUGAUAAGGGGACACCGAGUGCCAGCAUCAUAUGCUGGCUGUCCGGGUGUGUAAAAUACACCUGUUAGCAAGGGCCGGGCAAGACCGGUGCCAGCCGCCGCGGUAACACCGGCGGCCCGAGUGGUGAUCGUGAUUAUUGGGUCUAAAGGGUCCGUAGCCGGUUUGGUCAGUCCUCCGGGAAAUCUGACGGCUUAACCGUUAGGCUUUCGGAGGAUACUGCCAGGCUUGGAACCGGGAGAGGUAAGAGGUACUACAGGGGUAGGAGUGAAAUCUUGUAAUCCCUGUGGGACCACCUGUGGCGAAGGCGUCUUACCAGAACGGGUUC
This 585-nucleotide ribosomal RNA is filed under the name Methanosarcina sp. enrichment culture clone G11. Its description in RNAcentral is "bacterial SSU rRNA". It matches the Rfam family "Archaeal small subunit ribosomal RNA", at positions 109 to 692 of the family's 1478-position model. Lineage: Archaea; Methanobacteriati; Methanobacteriota; Methanomicrobia; Methanosarcinales; Methanosarcinaceae. The record is from RNAcentral.